RNAcentral lists this ribosomal RNA (468 nucleotides) under uncultured bacterium. RNAcentral's name for it is "partial 16S ribosomal RNA". It matches the Rfam family "Bacterial small subunit ribosomal RNA", at positions 28 to 507 of the family's 1533-position model. The record is from RNAcentral.
GACGAACGCUGGCGGCGUGCUUAACGCAUGCAAGUCGAACGGAAAGGCCCUGCUUUUGUGGGGUGCUCGAGUGGCGAACGGGUGAGUAACACGUGAGUAACCUGCCCUUGACUUUGGGAUAACUUCAGGAAACUGGGGCUAAUACCGGAUAGGAGCUCCUGCUGCAUGGUGGGGGUUGGAAAGUUUCGGCGGUUGGGGAUGGACUCGCGGCUUAUCAGCUUGUUGGUGGGGUAGUGGCUUACCAAGGCUUUGACGGGUAGCCGGCCUGAGAGGGUGACCGGCCACAUUGGGACUGAGAUACGGCCCAGACUCCUACGGUAGGCAGCAGUGGGGAAUAUUGCACAAUGGGCGGAAGCCUGAUGCAGCAACGCCGCGUGCGGGAUGACGGCCUUCGGGUUGUAAACCGCUUUCGCCUGUGACGAAGCGUGAGUGACGGUAAUGGGUAAAGAAGCACCGGCUAACUACGUG